AGUGAACGCUGGCGGUAGGCCUAACACAUGCAAGUCGAACGGCAGCACAGUAAGAGCUUGCUCUUACGGGUGGCGAGUGGCGGACGGGUGAGGAAUACAUCGGAAUCUACUUUUUCGUGGGGGAUAACGUAGGGAAACUUACGCUAAUACCGCAUACGACCUACGGGUGAAAGCAGGGGAUCUUCGGACCUUGCGCGAUUGAAUGAGCCGAUGUCGGAUUAGCUAGUUGGCGGGGUAAAGGCCCACCAAGGCGACGAUCCGUAGCUGGUCUGAGAGGAUGAUCAGCCACACUGGAACUGAGACACGGUCCAGACUCCUACGGGAGGCAGCAGUGGGGAAUAUUGGACAAUGGGCGCAAGCCUGAUCCAGCCAUACCGCGUGGGUGAAGAAGGCCUUCGGGUUGUAAAGCCCUUUUGUUGGGAAAGAAAAGCAGCAGGUUAAUACCCCGCUAUUCUGACGGUACCAAAAGAAUAAGCACCGGCUAACUUCGU
Molecule: ribosomal RNA, 491 nt
Filed under: uncultured bacterium
Lineage: Bacteria
Description: partial 16S ribosomal RNA
Rfam family: Bacterial small subunit ribosomal RNA
Source: RNAcentral